AUUGAACGCUGGCGGCAUGCCUUACACAUGCAAGUCGAACGGUAACGGGCCUUCGGGUGCCGACGAGUGGCGAACGGGUGAGUAAUGUAUCGGAACGUACCUUUCAGUGGGGGAUAACGUAGCGAAAGUUACGCUAAUACCGCAUAUUCUGUGAGCAGGAAAGCAGGGGAUCGCAAGACCUUGCGCUGAUUGAGCGGCCGAUAUCAGAUUAGCUAGUUGGUGAGGUAAAGGCUCACCAAGGCGACGAUCUGUAGCGGGUCUGAGAGGAUGAUCCGCCACACUGGAACUGAGACACGGUCCAGACUCCUACGGGAGGCAGCAGUGGGGAAUUUUGGACAAUGGGGGGCAACCCUGAUCCAGCCAUGCCGCGUGAGUGAAGAAGGCCUCGGGUUGUAAAGGCUCUUUCGGCCGGGAAGGAAAUCGUAUGGGUUAAGUACCCUGUGCGGAUGACGGUACCGGCAUAAGAAGCACCGGCUAACUACGUGCCAGCAGCCGCGGUAAU
Molecule: ribosomal RNA, 502 nt
Filed under: uncultured bacterium
Lineage: Bacteria
Description: bacterial SSU rRNA
Rfam family: Bacterial small subunit ribosomal RNA
Source: RNAcentral